ACACGAAUGAAAGUCAAGCUGAAAGACUUUACUCAAUGAUGUAAGUGGUGGUGCAUGGUCGUAAACUACGUGCGACUAGAAGUAUCUGUGAAAAGCAGGUGCUAGUGGGGGCAGGUGCGCUUUUGCGAGUGCCUGUUUCCUGCGACACUGUCAAAUUGCGGGGAAAUCCGAAGUGGGCUAUAGUACCGCUACAGCACCGAAAGGUCUGGCUGUUAGCACCUUAGGGAAACUUGAGGGUAUGGUAAGAACCUAUAUGCCUUGGACAAUCCGCAGCCAAGCCCUAAAGCUUUCGAGCCAUGGGUGCAGUUCAACGACUAAAUGGCAGUGGGCUGGUUUCGGCCGGCUUAAGAUAUAGUCUUGCCCCACCGGAAGGUGGUCCUAGGAGGAAAGGGCUUAGCAGGCCCCGGAACCUAGGAGGUUUUUCGUCCCCUUUCAGGAGGGGGUGAGAGGCUGGAUGUGGCAGUCGUGGUUCGUGGAUUGAUUUGUCUGGUUAAUUCCGAUAACGAGCGAGACCCUAUCGUUCCUAAUAGGGGGCUACAGCCCGAUCGGCCGAAAGGCUGGUUAGCCGUAGCUUAAGAUUAACUUCUUAGACGUAUCAGAGCCGAUAAGGUUCUUGAAAUGGGUUAAUAACAGGUCAGUCAUGCCCUUAGAUGUUCUGGGCCGCACGCGCGUUACAAUGGCAUGUAAAGCGAGUGCUUAUCGAUAGGCUAUACCUGGAUCGAAAGGUCUUGGUAAUCCAUAAUCCCUGCCUUGACUGGGAUAGAUCAUUGCAAUUAUUGGUCUUAAACGAGGAAUUUUUAGUAAUAGCCAGGUCAUUAACCUGCGC
This 826-nucleotide ribosomal RNA is filed under the name Badhamia panicea. RNAcentral's name for it is "partial small subunit ribosomal RNA". It matches the Rfam family "Eukaryotic small subunit ribosomal RNA", at positions 1230 to 1641 of the family's 1831-position model. The record is from RNAcentral. Lineage: Eukaryota; Evosea; Eumycetozoa; Physariida; Physaraceae.